This 405-nucleotide ribosomal RNA is filed under the name Triticum aestivum (bread wheat). RNAcentral describes it as "partial small subunit ribosomal RNA". Lineage: Eukaryota; Viridiplantae; Streptophyta; Magnoliopsida; Poales; Poaceae. The record is from RNAcentral.
AUGGCUGACAGGCUCAUGAAGAGGCGGUGGCCAAACUGCUACUUCUGUCCGCUUUGCAGGAGAAAUCUUGAAACGGAUGACCACCUCUUCAUCGACUGCGCAUGGUCGCGUGAUCUGUGGCAAGCGUUCGCCAUUCGCUUUCGCUGUACUUCCCAACCUGCUACGUGGCCUUCGCAGCCUCCCCUGGCUGACUGGAUCCAGGGUCUGCCAACUGGGAGGGACUGCGCGUCUGUAAAACGUGGCAGAUCCAUCACUCUUCUGACCCUUUGGCACAUUUGGAAGGAGCCGAAUGAUAGAAUCUUCCGCGACGUGGACAAAUCUACAGCCCAGGUGCUAGGAGCUGUCUCAGAUGAUCUUACCGAAUGGGUUUUAGCUGGGGGUGCCCAUCUGAUGCCGCGAGAGUAG